GAGCGAGACCCACGCCCACAGUUGCCAGCGUACUCUCUGGAGUGACGGGUACACUGUGGGGACGCCGCUGCUAAAGCGAGGAAGGAAUGGGCAACGGUAGGUCCAGUAUGCCCCGAAUAUCCCGGGCUACACGCGAGCUACAAUGGUUGGUACAAUGGGUAUCUACCCCGAAAGGGGACGGGAAUCUCCUAAACCCAAUCUUAGUUCGGAUUGAGGGCUGCAACUCGCCCUCAUGAAGCUGGAAUCCGUAGUAAUCGCGUUUCAGCAGAACGCGGUGAAUACGUCCCUGCUCCUU
RNAcentral lists this ribosomal RNA (295 nucleotides) under uncultured Methanosaeta sp. RNAcentral's name for it is "partial 16S ribosomal RNA". It matches the Rfam family "Archaeal small subunit ribosomal RNA", at positions 1043 to 1338 of the family's 1478-position model. Lineage: Archaea; Methanobacteriati; Methanobacteriota; Methanomicrobia; Methanotrichales; Methanotrichaceae. The record is from RNAcentral.